AGAGUUUGAUCAUGGCUCAGGAUGAACGCUAGCGGUCGGCCUAACACAUGCAAGUCGAGCGGCAGCAGCACUCUUCGCAAGAAGAGUGGCUGGCGAGCGGCGAACGGGUGAGUAACGCGUAGGUAACCUGCCCCUAGGUGGGGGAUAGCUCGGGGAAACCUGAGGUAAUACCCCAUAGUAUCACCGGAUGGCAUCAUCUUGUGAUUAAAGGCUUCGGUCGCCUAGGGAUGGGCCUGCGUCCCAUCAGGUAGUUGGUGAGGUAACGGCUCACCAAGCCUACGACGGGUAGCCGGUCUGAGAGGAUGAUCGGCCACACUGGCACUGAGACACGGGCCAGACUCCUACGGGAGGCAGCAGUGAGGAAUAUUGGACAAUGGGCGAAAGCCUGAUCCAGCCAGACCGCGUGGGGGAUGAAGGCCUUAGGGUCGUAAACCCCUUUUGUCGGGGAAGAAACCUACGGACGUGUCCGUAGCUGACGGUACCCGACGAAUAAGCACCGGCUAACUCCGUGCCAGCAGCCGCGGUAAUACGGAGGGUGCAGGCGUUAUCCGGAUUCACUGGGCUUAAAGGGUCCGUAGGCGGUGUGGUAAGUCAGAGGUGAAAUCCUGCGGCUUAACCGUAGAACUGCCUUUGAUACUGCCACACUUGGAUGU
This 653-nucleotide ribosomal RNA is filed under the name bacterium enrichment culture clone BIG B-Brut-10. RNAcentral describes it as "bacterial SSU rRNA". It matches the Rfam family "Bacterial small subunit ribosomal RNA", at positions 8 to 649 of the family's 1533-position model. The record is from RNAcentral.